GUGAAUCAUCAAAUUUUUGAACGCAUAUUGCACUUCCUGGUAUUCCGGAGAGUAUGCCUGUUUGAGGGUAAUUAAAAAGAAUCUUUAACCAAUUUUUUUUGGUUAAAGGAAAUGAGCUCUCUGCGUUUAUAGAGGUAGCUUGAAAUAAAUGGUUAAGAUUCAUUUUAGUCGAGACGCGUAAUAAUAUUAUUUCGUGUAUUCUUCAUUAUGUGAUUAUAAUGUUUUGAUGUAUAUAAAUUUGAUCUGUAUGUG
Molecule: unclassified non-coding RNA, 252 nt
Filed under: Ambisporaceae sp.
Lineage: Eukaryota; Fungi; Glomeromycota; Glomeromycetes; Archaeosporales; Ambisporaceae
Description: partial contains 5.8S ribosomal RNA and internal transcribed spacer 2
Rfam family: 5.8S ribosomal RNA (bases 1-71)
Source: RNAcentral